CCCAGCGGUAAAGUAUUCACCUGCAGUGAAGGAGACCCAGGAGACAUGGGUUCAAUCCCUGGGUUGGGAAGAUCCCCUGGAGGAGGAAAUGGCAACCUUGCUGGGAAAAUCUCAUGGACAGAGGAUCCUGCUGGGCUAUAGUUUAUAGGGUCACAAAGAUUCAGACACAACUGUAAUGACUGAGCACACACUCCUUAAAGUCAGAGCUCCUGUUCCCUUUCCUAGGAGGUAUGUAUCCAGCUUCUCCUGAGUUCUGCAGAUGUUUGUGGAACUUCUCGUAUGUAUUAAUCACUGGUAUACAGAGACAGUUUAAAAAUUCUCACAGUUCAGUGGAAAUGGUGCAUAUGUGGAGAGAUAAGCCCAACAACUGGAGAAGAAUUAAAUGGCAGUAGAAUUAGAGGGAGAGAAAAGGAAAAGUGCCUGCCCUCUGGGAAGCUGUGAGAAAACCCCCAAGAGAGACAACAUUCCAGUUAGUCUUUAAAUUGUAAGGCAAAAUUCACAAGCUCUGGAAAUUAGGACAUGGAUGUCUGGAGCCAUUAUUCCACCUAUCCUAGUGAGAGCUGCAAAGAUAAGAUCCCAAUGGAGCAGAAGCUAUGUAGCCUCUGGA
Molecule: long non-coding RNA, 607 nt
Organism: Bos taurus (domestic cattle)
Lineage: Eukaryota; Metazoa; Chordata; Mammalia; Artiodactyla; Bovidae
Source: Ensembl